Non-coding RNA from Phalacrocorax carbo (great cormorant), 2926 nucleotides. The record is from RefSeq and is a predicted model, not a curated record. Lineage: Eukaryota; Metazoa; Chordata; Aves; Suliformes; Phalacrocoracidae.
UUCACCAUGCUUCAGCAGCACACCUCUGUGUAGAGAUUAGUCCCCUGAUACUGGUCUGGAGAUCAUCCUGAGGGCCUUUUCCUUUUCUCCUUCAGUUAAAAUGCGCUAGGUUAAGCAAAGACCUCCUAGUUAAACUGUUAGUGAUAAUCUGAGUCAUGUUUACAGAAUAAGUGGCUGUGUACUCAAAAAGCGGGUAGACUAAAAAUGUAAACUCUAGGAGAAAGCUGGUGAUGGAAAACGGUUAUGCUUUUCACCAGUACCUCUUUUGGUAGAGUGCAUGCUGCCUAUGGUCUUAUGAAAAAACAAAGGUUUACACGUAGAAAGCAAGAUCUUUGCAAGACUAUGGGAUCUGUCUUAAUUUAUUGGCUGGAAGAGCUAUUCUAGGAUGAAGUUUGGUGUGAUGUGAAAGAACAUCUAAUUGAAGCAAUUCAAGUCUUGCCAGAAGCUUUUAACACAUAAAGAGAAAUUUACUGAAAACAAACCAAGCAUUCUUCAACAAGGGCUAACAGAAAAGCUGGAUAUCAACAGGGUUCUUGACAAAGGUCCCAAACUUAUCAUUACACCAGCAGUAUCAACUCAUUCUCCUCUGACCAAGACCAUGGGAAUGGAAGCAAGAUACACAGAAGAAUAAAAACACCAGCUGGAAAUACAGGAAGGCACUAAAAAGAAACAACCCAGAAGCAACUUCAAAUGACACAGAUGAUUAAUAUUAUCCAUGUUUUGAGGAACCACACAAAGAACCACACCUUGCCCUUAAAAACUAAGACAGUACUCAGAACCAUUGCAUGUAAAGAGUUAAUAUUUUGGAGUUGUGACAGUUACUUUUCUUGUCUAAAUUAACCCAGGACAGAGUUUAUUGUUAAACUGACUAUCCUCUAAUAGACAAAGCAUGUUUGUAAUGCGACAGAGGGUCCAAAAAUGUGUUGCAUCUUAGUUAAAAAAGGUAAUGGACCUUUUUCCCCAAAAAAACAUUAUUAAUUAAUUAUUAGUUGAGUGAUAAGUUAAGGUUUAAUUCCUAAUAUGUUUUUCCACUGUGGCAGAAUAAUGUUGCAGGACAGCCAAGUAAAAACAUAGCCCUGCUGAUUGCAGUGAGUCUGCACUUGGCGCCUAUGCUCACUAGAGACAUGUCAGUCUUCCUAUGUUGAGGUUGGAGGUUGUUUUUAUUUGAGAAUCUUCAGUGCUUUCUGUGGGAAUGAACUGCCAGAUUUACAAAACAUAACCCAUAGCUCUGCUGCCUUUUACACCAGCCCAUAUAGACAGUAGAUUCCUGAUCACCAUUCCUGCUCUGAUCAGUGCUUUCUACUGCAGCUGCUAACAAAAAGGAAAAGUCUUCUUUCCUGCGGAAAAAGGAUUGAAGCUUCUGGCUCCAGUGUAAUUGUUUAUGGCUCCCUGAGGGGUUCAACUACUCACUUCACUCUUUUGUAAAUUUAUACGUUGAAACAAAAGGAGAUAUUUAUAUGUAACCAUGGUAUGUUUUUAGCACUGCACGGGCUACUAUAGGAAGAACCUUUCUGACUUUAUGGUUUCAACCCCUUUCUCCAGGGAGAGAUUUUUCAGGAAAAUAAUUCAUUGUUUGAGUGGAGGUUAAUGGCAUUGUUAAUUUAUAGAAGGGCAUCAAUAGUUUAAGAGCUUUUUACUUACACUGGUCAAUCAGUAACGGAUAACCCAUGUUAUGAGGGGGAACUGUAUAAGUGAUUAAUUCCAAAUCUCACAUAAACUUCUAAGUAGCGCAUGGAAAAUUACAAAGUGCCUGUCCUGUGCUAAGAAUUUAGCAUCCUAUCUACCACGGAAAAAUCUAGGAAAAUGCACAAGAAAAUGAGAGAGGGCUCUGCAGACAGGCAGAAUUUUGAGCACUUUCAAGUAAACUAUUCUGAGAAACAUAAAAAAUAAUAAUUAUGUUUACAUUUACGUAUAUUAAAUUUAAAAGUGGCUACUAUUAUUUAAGGCACUUUGUUUAAACAUUAACAUCUUAACCUAACAAUGAAUAUAUAGCAUCAGUUUAAGAACAGACAGGGAGAGUACUGCUUACCCAAACACCGAUCCCAAAUAACCCUUCAUAGACUUGAAUUGCAGCAAGUUACUCUCAGGCAGUGGAACUGCUUUUUAACAGAAGAUUUAACAGAGAAUUUGAGCUUUUGUCAAUGGGAAGCUCUUCAUGGGAUUACAAAAUUCGUAGACAAAGGUUAGAUUUUUACUAAGACUAUGCUUAUGUUUUGAUUCUUCACAUACCGAAGUAGUCAGACCACUGGUCUUGCACUGACCUAGGUUUGAAUCUCUGCCGCAUCCUAAUGUAAAGACUCAGAGAAGAGUAAGGAUGCUUCUCUGCCUCUCACUUUAUCCACCUACAACAUACAGAUUUCAAAUAUUUUUUAAACACUUUGCAAUGGGCUGUGAAAAAAAUUAUAUAUAAGCAUUACAUGCUUUUGCUGUGCUUAUUUUUGAAAUCCAUCUGUCACUGGAAAGACAGAAGGCAAGUUGUCAUGCUUGAGCCACGCAGCUGCUUUUCAGACCUCUACUGACCUAAGGCUAAGAAGAUUAAUAAGUAAUACCAUAAUUAUGAAUGGUGGUUAAACAGCAAUCUAGAUUCCAAAGCCAAAAUAUACAGUUCUCUUUCAUGUAUAUAAACUUGCCCCAAAUUAAACAAACUAGCUUCAAAGGUCUACAAGACCAGAACUGAACUCUGUCACCUUUGCAGGCCACUUUAUUUGAGAACACUGUCCUUGAUGUGUUAAAGUUCACUGGGCUACAUUCACACUGUUUGUUAUUAAACAUUAAAUCUGAUUCUGUGGAAAAAAAUAUUCUUUUUCUGGAAUGUUACACCCUGUGCCACGAGCUUACAAUUUACAGCUCCACUGACACCGUUUGAAACGUCAGCCUAUAAAAAGACUUAGCAUAGUAUUUUCUAGUGGUGUUUUCACUUCUGUUU